AGCUCCAAUAGCAUAUAUUAAAAUAGUUGCGGUUAAAACGCUCGUAGUUGGAUUUCUGUUAAGGACGAUCGGUCCGCCCUCUGGGUGAAUAUCUGGCUCGGCCUUUGCUUCUUCUCGCAGGGCGCAACUGCACUUGACUGUGUGGUGCGGCAUGCAAGGCUUUUACUUUGAGGAAAUAAGAAUGUUUGAAGCAGGCGCAUGCCUUGAAUACAUUAGCAUGGGAUAAUGAGAUAGGACGUUGGUUCUAUUUUGUUGGUUUCUAGGAUUGAGGUAAUGAAUAAUAGGGAUAGUUGGGGGGCAUUCGUACUUAAUUGUCAGAGGUGAAAUUCUUGGAUUUGUU
Molecule: ribosomal RNA, 340 nt
Filed under: uncultured eukaryote
Lineage: Eukaryota
Description: SSU rRNA
Rfam family: Eukaryotic small subunit ribosomal RNA
Source: RNAcentral